This is a non-coding RNA of Ictidomys tridecemlineatus (thirteen-lined ground squirrel), 1409 nucleotides long. The record is from RefSeq and is a predicted model, not a curated record. NCBI's taxonomy places the organism in Eukaryota, Metazoa, Chordata, Mammalia, Rodentia, Sciuridae.
UCUGCCACAGGGAAUAGGCUCUCACCAGGCACCGAACACCUUGAUCCUGAACUUCCCAGCCUCCAGAACAGGAAGAAAUUAAUGUUUGUUGCUUCUAAGGCACCAGUUUCUAGUAAUUUUGCUAUAUCAGCCUGAUUGAACUGAGGCAGUACUAAAUAAGAAAAUGCAUGUAUUCCAGAAGACAGGAAAUGCCCAACGAAACUGAAUUUACUUCUUUUGAAAUCAACCAUUUACUUUGAGAAAGGAGAAAGAUAUCAUCAUACAUCAUAUAUAGGCAUACAAAGGGACAAAGCAUGGUUCAUUGGGACUGCAGCAUGGGGUCCAGGAUGCUUAGAUACCAAACUUUGAAAGGUCCUGGAAGCUGAGGGCAUCAGGAGAGCUGUGCUCAUUCUGGAGUCUUACUGAAAUUGUUUUCCUCAUUCCCUUGAAACUAGGAAGGACAUGCAACCCAUGAUAGCAGCCCCCAAGACGAAGCCUUGAAUGCAGUGUAGUAUAUUUAGGAAGUGAUCUCAGAAAACAAAAGUGAGGAAAUGAGGAAGUGGGGCAGGGAUCGGGGAGAGCUUUGGGCAACCAAUGCUCAAUCCUCUUGAAGACCCUGUGAAAUCAAGUGGAUCAUGCCCCAGAAUUUCGAUGUCAGAGGAAAGGGAUAUGGAGGCCUGGAUUCCAAGGAUCAUCCUGCAGUUGUUAAAGGCUGCCCCAGCAGCAUGAGCAGUCUUGUAUUUCUGGAUUGCACCUGUACAUUGAAACAAGCUCUCUCGUGUUGGAGGAAACUCUUGGGAAAAGGAAGAGAGUGAAGCAGGUGUUCAAAGUUGGACGCUACGAGCCUGUAGAGAAAUACCCUGUGUUCCAGGGGGUCCAAGUGGCUAGGGAGAUGGGACAGAGCUUCACCCACCUUCCUGAACUCAUCCCAUAUGAGAUAGCACAUCCCCUAGCCUGGUCUAUAGAACAUGAGCAAAAGCCAUGGGUCACUUCUGGUGAAGCUUAAAGAGACAGUUUAUGAUUUAUAUAUUCUUUCCCCUUGUCUUGGCCACAUUAGUGAUCAAAUGAUGGAGGCUCCCUCCACAUGUCCUGGAGUGAGAAGAUGUGGAGCAGAACUAGCAGCUGAUUCACAGAGGACAGAUGUACACAGAACAAUCUUGGAAACCAUAUGCUCCAGAUGCUGUAGCUACAAUAUGGAGGAUUUCUGACUUAAAGACAUUGUUAUGCUGCAGAAUGCUGCAUUCACAGUAUCAGCAAAACCCAAGAAAUAAGUAAAAGAGAAUGCAGAGGGUCUUUCAUGAAGGAUGGAAAGAAUGACCUGAAUAAUGGAGGAAAUACCAAGUUCCUGUAUGCAAGGACUUAAUUGUCAUUUUACCUCCGACCAGCUGUCAAUCAAUACAAUUCCAAUUAAAGUCCCUGGAGAAUUUUAA